ACAGCCCUAGUUGUUAAAUUUCGACGAGUUUUAUUCAGAAUUGGUGCUAAAAUAAGAAACAAAUCGAAAGGACGCCGCGAGUUCCGGACUACCUAAAGCUAAGACAAACAGAGGCUGUUGGUUGAAUCCUGUGUAAUCCUGGCCACUUAUCACGCGUGCAAAAUGCAAAUUCGGACCGGGCCCGACGCGGAAUUAACGAAAACGCAAAUCGUUGCACAUCACUAGAAUCGCUCGGCAAUUGUCAAAGUUUGCUACGGGUUAAGGAUUUAUCAAGAUGGUUUACGUGAAAAUAAAAUGUAUGUAGGAUUGGAUUAUUGAUCGAGGAAGGGCUGCCUUGAGGCGUACUACGCGACCGAGUAAAAUCGUGAAAUUGGAAAAUAAAAAUCAAAACUAAAAUAAAUUAUAAGGACGUGAAGGGAUUGUAAACAC
This is a long non-coding RNA of Hyposmocoma kahamanoa, 429 nucleotides long. RefSeq lists it as uncharacterized. NCBI's taxonomy places the organism in Eukaryota, Metazoa, Arthropoda, Insecta, Lepidoptera, Cosmopterigidae. The transcript is spliced from 4 exons. The record is from RefSeq and is a predicted model, not a curated record.